This 73-nucleotide transfer RNA is filed under the name Albugo candida. It matches the Rfam family "tRNA". Rfam says of the family: Transfer RNA (tRNA) molecules are approximately 80 nucleotides in length. Lineage: Eukaryota; Oomycota; Peronosporomycetes; Albuginales; Albuginaceae. The record is from Rfam by way of RNAcentral.
GCCUCGGUAGCUCAGUGUGGAGAGCGUCAGACUGAAGAUCUGAAGGUCCCUGGUUCGAUCCCGGGUCGCGGCA